CGAGAAACACGUUGACACCUGAAGCAAACGAGACAUUCAGUGGGACAGAAUUUGUUCACGCACAUGGGGCACACACAUUGUCCAACGGCCUGUGUCUACAGGAUGGUCACUCUGUACUAAUCCUCCCAAGCUUAAGAAGAAACAUUUCCACUGUCACCCUCAGCGUGCUGGAACAAAGGCUGAGGAAAAGGCUAAGCCCUGGACAGACGUCAAAACCUGACCCUGAGUCAUCUCGGCAGCGAAUCAGGCCUCUUGAGCAGCGUCCCAAGCCGCUCAAGUCAGCUGUAAGACCCAAGCAGUGCUGGAACCUAUACCAUCUGGGAUGCUGUGGAGUUGUUCACCACCAGCUCCUUACGCGUCUCCCAGAGAGACACGUCGUCGGUGUCUUGCUCCACAAAUCAUGCGCCUCUAUGACUCCUGGGGACAAGGAAGCAUUAUCCUACUUCAAGCCAAAGAAGGACAAAGUCACCUCAGUGACACAUACAGGAGCUUAUCUGUGAAACACUCUCUGAGGUAGAUUCUGCCGUUGAUACUGAUUUUGCAAACGAGGGAACCAGGCACCGAGAAGUUAAGUCAGUAGCAAGACAGAAGUCCAAGCCUUCUUCCUUUCGAGCUUGUUUCCCUAACAGGACUGAGUACGUCUGUGUGAAUUAGGCACAGUGCUAAAGCUUCUUAAGCGCCCAUAUAUCUUUCACGCUAGCCCUCUUUUAUGAGAACACUGAGGCUUACAAAGAAAAUAUAUGUCGCUUGAAGCCCAUGGAUAA
Peromyscus maniculatus bairdii (prairie deer mouse) is the source of this 764-nucleotide non-coding RNA. The record is from RefSeq and is a predicted model, not a curated record. Lineage: Eukaryota; Metazoa; Chordata; Mammalia; Rodentia; Cricetidae.